Molecule: long non-coding RNA, 692 nt
Organism: Pezoporus flaviventris
Lineage: Eukaryota; Metazoa; Chordata; Aves; Psittaciformes; Psittacidae
Exons: 3
Source: RefSeq, a predicted model, not a curated record
CUAAGAAGGACAAAAAUGACUUCGACUGCUGAACCCAGGACAGUAUCCACCCCUUAUUCCAUACCAUUCACGUCAUCUUCAGAUCACACAUUUUCAAUAUACCAUCACUCUUAUCUCAUAUAUGUACAUAUAUGUUUAUUCAUCCACAUAGAGAGAGAGAUUGAGAGAGUUUAUUCCUUAGUGCAUGGACCAAUCCCUAUUAAUCUGCUGAGUCCAUUCAGUCCAUGAUGUCGGGCUUCAUCUCUUGUAAAAGUCUUUCAGAUCAGUAGAUGCUGUGUGCAGUGUUGGAUCAUUGCCUGCUGAUGCUGAUUGUUCCUUUACCGCAGAACUUGUCUGGUUUCAUCAAAUUUCAUUCUUUGUUGGGAUGGUGGUCGGAGGGAAGUCAGGGCCAAUUCCUGGUGACCUGAAGACAUCUAGUUGGUGGUCUAUAGAAGUGCUACAUAGCAGGCAAUAGCAUACAAUUGAGUUCAUUGGCUGUUUUCCUCUAAAUCGUGAAUAACCUGGGCAAUAGUGUCCAUUGUUAAAUCCACCUCUCAAUCACAAGCCCAUCUGUAUGUUGCAUCUCUGCCCUGAUGGCCUGAAGUGUCAUGGGCCCAGCAGGCCAAAAAUAAUUCACCUUUAUGUUGCCAAUCUGAGUCCAUCUGCACCACUUCAAUCUUAGCAGCUUUAUCCACUUGUUGUUCUGGUGUUCC